RNAcentral lists this ribosomal RNA (114 nucleotides) under Saprospiraceae bacterium. Lineage: Bacteria; Pseudomonadati; Bacteroidota; Saprospiria; Saprospirales; Saprospiraceae. The record is from RNAcentral.
GUUGGUGCCUUUGGCGAUGGGGUUCACCUCUUCCCAUUCCGAACAGAGCAGUUAAGCCCGUCAGCGCUGAUGGUACUGGGUCAGAUGUCCCGGGAGAGUAGGUCGGUGCCAACU